RNAcentral lists this ribosomal RNA (469 nucleotides) under uncultured bacterium. RNAcentral describes it as "partial 16S ribosomal RNA". It matches the Rfam family "Bacterial small subunit ribosomal RNA", at positions 28 to 507 of the family's 1533-position model. The record is from RNAcentral.
GACGAACGCUGGCGGCGUGCCUAACACAUGCAAGUCGAACGAUGGUCUCCCGCUUGCUGGGGUUUUUAGUGGCGGACGGGCGGGUAAUUCGUGAGUACACCGGCCUUUACUCUUGGGUAAGGCAGGGAAAAGGGGACCUAAUCCUGAUACUACAUACUACCUACUGGUGGGUGGGGGAAAGGGUCUUACUUGGUUUGUAUGGGCUCACGGCCUACCGGCUUGUUUGUGGAGUAAUGGCUCACCCAGGCGACGACGGGUAGCCGGCCCGAGAGGGUGACCGGCCACACUGGGACUGAGACACGGCCCAGACUCCUACGGGAGGCAGCAGUGGGGAAGAUUGCACAAUGGGCGGAAGCCUGAUGCAGCGACGCCGCGUGAGGGAUGACGGCCUUCGGGUUGAAAACCUCUUUCAGCAGGGAAGAAGCCACAAGUGACGGUACCUGCAGAAGAAGCGCCGGCUAACUACGUG